This 737-nucleotide ribosomal RNA is filed under the name Pseudoalteromonas sp. R2-Sid-T4-13b. Its description in RNAcentral is "bacterial SSU rRNA". It matches the Rfam family "Bacterial small subunit ribosomal RNA", at positions 47 to 780 of the family's 1533-position model. The record is from RNAcentral. Lineage: Bacteria; Pseudomonadati; Pseudomonadota; Gammaproteobacteria; Alteromonadales; Pseudoalteromonadaceae.
CCUAACACAUGCAAGUCGAGCGGUAACAGAAAGUAGCUUGCUACUUUGCUGACGAGCGGCGGACGGGUGAGUAAUGCUUGGGAACAUGCCUUGAGGUGGGGGACAACAGUUGGAAACGACUGCUAAUACCGCAUAAUGUCUACGGACCAAAGGGGGCUUCGGCUCUCGCCUUUAGAUUGGCCCAAGUGGGAUUAGCUAGUUGGUGAGGUAAUGGCUCACCAAGGCGACGAUCCCUAGCUGGUUUGAGAGGAUGAUCAGCCACACUGGGACUGAGACACGGCCCAGACUCCUACGGGAGGCAGCAGUGGGGAAUAUUGCACAAUGGGCGCAAGCCUGAUGCAGCCAUGCCGCGUGUGUGAAGAAGGCCUUCGGGUUGUAAAGCACUUUCAGUCAGGAGGAAAGGUUAGUAGUUAAUACCUGCUAGCUGUGACGUUACUGACAGAAGAAGCACCGGCUAACUCCGUGCCAGCAGCCGCGGUAAUACGGAGGGUGCGAGCGUUAAUCGGAAUUACUGGGCGUAAAGCGUACGCAGGCGGUUUGUUAAGCGAGAUGUGAAAGCCCCGGGCUCAACCUGGGAACUGCAUUUCGAACUGGCAAACUAGAGUGUGAUAGAGGGUGGUAGAAUUUCAGGUGUAGCGGUGAAAUGCGUAGAGAUCUAAGGAAUACCGAUGGCGAAGGCAGCCACCUGGGUCAACACUGACGCUCAUGUACGAAAGCGUGGGGAGCAAACGGGAUUA